This 274-nucleotide ribosomal RNA is filed under the name uncultured bacterium. RNAcentral's name for it is "partial 16S ribosomal RNA". It matches the Rfam family "Bacterial small subunit ribosomal RNA", at positions 523 to 796 of the family's 1533-position model. The record is from RNAcentral.
AUACGGAGGGUGCGAGCGUUAAUCGGAAUUACUGGGCGUAAAGGGUCCGUAGGCGGUCUGCUUAGUCUGAUGUGAAAGCCCCGGGCUUAACCUGGGAAUGGCAUUGGAUACUGGCGGACUAGAGUCUGGUAGAGGGUGGUGGAAUUCCUGGUGUAGCGGUGAAAUGCGUAGAUAUCGGGAGGAACACCAGUGGCGAAGGCGGCCACCUGGACCAAGACUGACGCUGAGGGACGAAAGCGUGGGGAGCAAACAGGAUUAGAAACCCUAGUAGUCC